This 781-nucleotide long non-coding RNA is filed under the name Canis lupus familiaris (dog). RNAcentral's name for it is "lncRNA (ENSCAFG00845020508.1)". Lineage: Eukaryota; Metazoa; Chordata; Mammalia; Carnivora; Canidae. The record is from RNAcentral.
UUCUUGAUUACAUUUUCAGUAUGAAGGGAGACUGGGAGCUGAGAUCAAAAGUUCCAAAAGUAUCCAAAUCUCAUGAUUAGAGAUCUAAAGGAUUCCUAAAGUCACUUAAGCCCUCCUCCCAGAUGCCAUCCGCUGGGCCCAGGCCAUGAAUCUUCUCAGAAUGUUAUCCUAAAGGCCUCCUGUGAGAAUGGGGAAAAAAAAGAGCAUGAGUUGUUCCUCAUCCUCAAGAAGAGCUCCCACUAUCACACAGCCUGCUGGCCGCGUGCUGUUCUGCAUGGGGCACUCUGCCAGGUAAUUCUCAAAAACAAUGAAAAUUGGCAAACCACUUGCCUAACUUAUAAGGACACUGCCACUUGUAACAUCUAAACGAUCUCAAAGUAUCAUUUCAACUGAGACGUUGGAGGAAGUGCCAUGUUGCCAAUUUUUCUAAAAGUCCUUCUUCCCAGGUAAGCUUUGUUAGAACAACCUUGAAAUAACAACAUGAAAACCAAAUGUGUCAUUAGGCCCCAUUUAUUAUCUGCAGUUACUGGUUAGUUUUAUGUUUUUGUUUUUUUUUUUUUUGAAGCCAUUGCGUACAAAUUAUAUUUUCUAAUGUGUCAGCAUUUUUCUAAUUCAAAUUUCCACUAGUAAUCUGUUUUGCUGUGAAUACUGGGUAAACUUCAUGCCCAGCAGCUAAAAUUUCUGGAUGCAACAACUCAUUUACAAAAUUCUCAUAUAUUCAUCAAGGAAUGAAAGCAUGAUUUUGCAGAAUUGAAUUUUAAGAGCUCUGAUGCAACUGAAA